Molecule: ribosomal RNA, 331 nt
Filed under: uncultured bacterium
Lineage: Bacteria
Description: bacterial SSU rRNA
Rfam family: Bacterial small subunit ribosomal RNA
Source: RNAcentral
CGCGUAGGCGGCGAGGCAAGUCAGAUGUGAAAGCCCCGGGCUCAACUCGGGAACUGCAUCUGAAACUGCUUUGCUUGAGUUCUGGAGGGGGUGGUGGAAUUCCCAGUGUAGCGGUGAAAUGCGUAGAUAUUGGGAGGAACACCUGCGGCGAAGGCGGCUACCUGGACAGAAACUGACGCUGAGGCGCGAAAGCUAGGGGAGCGAACGGGAUUAGAUACCCCGGUAGUCCUAGCUGUAAACGAUGGGCACUUGGUGUUGGGGGUAUUGAGUCCCUCGGUGCCGGAGUUAACACGUUAAGUGCCCCGCCUGGGGAGUACGGUCGCAAGACUGA